RNAcentral lists this long non-coding RNA (710 nucleotides) under Gossypium barbadense (sea-island cotton). RNAcentral describes it as "long non-coding RNA (GBAR_LNC019287)". Lineage: Eukaryota; Viridiplantae; Streptophyta; Magnoliopsida; Malvales; Malvaceae. The record is from RNAcentral.
UUUUUUUUGUUUAUUUGCAACAUAAAUAUUUCAAUAAUGUCAUCAUCAACAUUUGAAUCUUUUUUAGAAGAGAGGAUCCAACAAUGAUGACGACGAACCAUAACCUACCAGUAGAAGACCAGUGGCCAUCCGACCGCCAACAACAGCUAAAGCCCUUAUUAAACCUCGCUGUGGUGCUUUUGGGCACCGGCCAACUCAAGCCACCAACGACAAUGGCGCGUAGAGAGGUAGCAAAACUCGACCACUUCCUUCAAUGGCUUCAGGUAAUUUAUUGAUACGUUUCCUCUGCAUUGGUUAUGAAUGUUGUUUCUUUUGGAGGGUUCAUCAUUUUGAUGUACGCUGUGAUUCUCCAUGUUAUGGUUGUAACGGUAUCAUUAAAUUAUUUCAACUUCUUUCCUUGCUGCCAUGCUUUACUCUUUAUUACACCCAUUUCAGCUCUACCAUUAUUAUCUAAAAAUUGUGCCCAAUACACGAUUUGAUUUUGUUUAUCCUUUUGGCCGGUUGGGAAGAAUGUGCUGCCUGACCUCUGAUGAAACAAUGCCAAAAACAAAUAUUGGCCAUUUUUAAUGAAGAAUUUAUUCACAUCAGAGGGUGGUUGGUGGUAUAUAUUAUGUUGAUAGGUGGGUUCAUCGUAAAGGGUGGAGUCAUGGUCAUGAUUCGUCCUUGUUGUCGUUGGAUUUCUUCUUCUUAAAAAGGAUUUAAAUGUUGAU